CGGGAAGAGCUCAAAUUUAAAAUCUGGCGUGCCUCUGGUCGUCCGAAUUGUAGUCUGAAGAAGCGUCUUCUGUGUUGGACCGUGUACAAGUCUCUUGGAACAGGAAGCCAAAGAGGGUGAGAGUCCCGUCUUGGACCGCGGUAGGGCUCGUGUAAAACUCCUUCGAC
This 167-nucleotide ribosomal RNA is filed under the name Thelephoraceae sp. RNAcentral's name for it is "partial large subunit ribosomal RNA". The record is from RNAcentral. Lineage: Eukaryota; Fungi; Basidiomycota; Agaricomycetes; Thelephorales; Thelephoraceae.